Non-coding RNA from Mariannaea sp. PMI_226, 86 nucleotides. The record is from the annotation of a GenBank genome assembly. Lineage: Eukaryota; Fungi; Ascomycota; Sordariomycetes; Hypocreales; Nectriaceae.
GCCUAGAUAGUCCAGUGGUCAAGACUCUUCGUUGUGGCCCAUAAAGCGGUUCCGAAGCAACCCAGGUUCGAUUCCUGGUCUGGGCA